Molecule: ribosomal RNA, 460 nt
Filed under: uncultured bacterium
Lineage: Bacteria
Description: partial 16S ribosomal RNA
Rfam family: Bacterial small subunit ribosomal RNA
Source: RNAcentral
CCUACGUGUGGCAGCAGUGAGGAAUAUUGGUCAAUGGACGAGAGUCUGAACCAGCCAAGUAGCGUGAAGGAUGACUGCUCUAUGGGUUGUACACUUCUUUUAUAUGGGAAUAAAACAGGGUAUGCAUACCCUCUUGUAUGUAUCAUACGAAUAAGGAUCGGCUAACUCCGUGCCAGCAGCCGCGGUAAUACGGAGGAUCCGAGCGUUAUCCGGAAUUAUUGGGUUUAAAGGGUCCGUGUGUGGAUUGUUAAGUCAGUUGUGAAAGUUUGCGGAUCAACCGUAAAAUUGCAGUUGAAACUGGUAGUCUUGAGUACAGUAGAGGUGGGCGGAAUUCGUGGUGUAGCGGUGAAAUGCUUAGAUAUCACGAAGAACUCUGAUUGCGAAGGCAGCUCACUGGACUGCAACUGACACUGAUGCUCGAAAGUGUGGGUAUCAAACAGGAUUAGAUACCCGAGUAGUC